This 889-nucleotide ribosomal RNA is filed under the name Aliatypus torridus. RNAcentral's name for it is "bacterial SSU rRNA". It matches the Rfam family "Eukaryotic small subunit ribosomal RNA", at positions 30 to 850 of the family's 1831-position model. The record is from RNAcentral. Lineage: Eukaryota; Metazoa; Arthropoda; Arachnida; Araneae; Antrodiaetidae.
GCUUGUCUCAAAGAUUAAGCCAUGCAUGUCUAAGCACAUACCGAAAGCAAGGUGAAACCGCGAAUGGCUCAUUAAAUCAGUUAUGGUUCCUUAGAUCGUACCCUGUUACUUGGAUAACUGUGGUAAUUCUAGAGCUAAUACAUGCAGCAGAGCUCCGACCCUCUCCUCCUGCCCGCCGGCGACGGCGGGCAGGUAGGUUGGGAACGAGCGCGUUUGUGAGACCAAAACCACCGGUCGCGGACUCAGCUCCGCGGCCAAAAAUAAGUGGUGAAUCUGUAUAACUUUUGGCCGAUCGCACGGGCUCGUCCCGGCGACGCAUCUUUCAAGUGUCUGCCUUAUCAACUGUCGAUGGUAAGUCACGCGCUUACCAUGGUCGUAACGGGUGACGGGGAAUCAGGGUUCGAUUCCGGAGAGGGAGCCUGAGAAACGGCUACCACAUCCAAGGAAGGCAGCAGGCGCGCAAAUUACCCACUCCCGGCACGGGGAGGUAGUGACGAAAAAUAACAAUACGGGACUCUUUUGAGACCCCGUAAUUGGAAUGAGUACACUCUAAAUCCUUUAGCGAGGAUCUAUUGGAGGGCAAGUCUGGUGCCAGCAGCCGCGGUAAUUCCAGCUCCAAUAGCGUAUAUUAAAGUUGUUGCGGUUAAAAAGCUCGUAGUUGGAUCUCAGUUCUAGACGGGUGGUCCGUCCUCCUUUUCGUUAAGGGGCGGUCUCACUGCCCGGUCCUAUUACAAAACCGGCCGGUUUCCCCCGAUGAUCUUCACCGGUUGUCUCGGGCGACCGGUACGUUUACUUUGAAAAAAUUAGAGUGCUCAAAGCAGGCAUAUGAUUGCCGGAAUAAUGGUGCAUGGAAUAAUAGAAUAAGACUCCGGUCCUAUGUUUGUUGGUU